AUUCUCUGAGUUUGUACAAAACACAAAGCUAAUUUGUAAAGACCAAUACAGGACACAAAGAAUCUAAAAAAGAGCAAGGACAGAAAAAGGAAGAGCAGCAAGGAUGCUACUGCACCAACCCAGGUCUAAAAGAAUGGGACUUGAUCCUCUUGACACCAUUUGGAAGAUCAUGUUUAGAAGAACUACAAAAACUAUGCUGGGCUUGUACAUGUCUCAGGACAUAAAUAUGGUUUUCAUAAAGCCCAGAUUGUAUUCCAAAAUAGCCCAUAAGUCCAACAACAGGUGUUAUAUAUUGUACCCUUUUUAAGCACUUUACUUUGAAGAGGGAUACAAAUGAGAGCUUCUGAUGAGAUGACUAGGGAUCUACUGGGCCAGCAUGUCUUGAAGAUGGAGCUUGCUCAUGUGAAUGGCUCAGCAGAUGCAGUGAACUCACAUCCCACUGGAGGCCAUCGCAUGGAGGGGGGGUAGCUGUGCCAAUGUUCAUGUGAAGAGGACACUGGGAAUUGAAGGAGGGAUCGAACUCGGGAACUUGUGCUUGCGAGGCAGGCGGCGGAAUCGCUGAGCUAAAUCCCUGGCCCCAUGCAAGUAAUUUUUGCACAUAUCUCAGUUCUUCAGGGAUCCUGUUGAAGAUCGGACGGCCCAGGGAUAACUCCUCAAUGCCACCCUUCUCAUUCAAGUGCUCUCAUUCUGUUUGACAGUGAACUCUGAAGAUCCAUCUUCUGAAACCAGAUUCAAGGGACU
Molecule: long non-coding RNA, 741 nt
Filed under: Heterocephalus glaber (naked mole-rat)
Lineage: Eukaryota; Metazoa; Chordata; Mammalia; Rodentia; Bathyergidae
Description: lncRNA (ENSHGLG00100042619.1)
Source: RNAcentral